AAAUGUAGCGUUAGGGAGCGUCCGUUAACUCGGGUGCGCGCGGCUUGCACAAGUCUCCCUUGAACGGUGCCAUUAUCCAUAGAGGGUGCCAGGCCCGUACUGCAGCUGCCGCGCCCGGGUGGGCGUCUCCUGGGAGUCGGUCUGUUUGAGAACGCAGACCUAAGUGGGUGGUAAACUCCAUCUAAGGCUAAAUACGACCACGAGACCGAUAGCGCACAAGUACCGUGAGGGAAAGGUGAAAAGAACUUUGAAGAGAGAGUUCAAGAGUACGUGAAACUGGAGAGGUGAAAACGGAUGUGACUGGAAAUUCCGAACGGCGGUGUUCAGUCUCACCGAAUCCGGACCCCGCCCCCGUUGAGACUCAAGGGUCCUCGCCGGCGUGCGGCCGCUCCUCGUGGGCGGUCGUCGCGUCGCCCGGGCCCCUCUCGGGUGGUGUUUGGGAUUCCGGAGGGGUGUGGAUGCACUCACCGCCGUAGUAGGAUGUCGCGACUCGUUGGGUGUCGGUCGCGAGGCCCGGCCGGGAGCCCGGUGUCCGUGUGACGUGUUCCUCUGAGGAAAAAUACACGCAGUGCGGCCCGGACCGGUUUCGGUGUCCUCUCCGACUGCCCGACGGUAUCGAAGGCGAGUCGUGUGCCCGUGCCCGCUGUCAAACGUCCCUUGCUCGUCUCGGGGCAG
This 675-nucleotide ribosomal RNA is filed under the name Liothrips oleae. Its description in RNAcentral is "partial large subunit ribosomal RNA". It matches the Rfam family "Eukaryotic large subunit ribosomal RNA", at positions 141 to 605 of the family's 3401-position model. The record is from RNAcentral. Lineage: Eukaryota; Metazoa; Arthropoda; Insecta; Thysanoptera; Phlaeothripidae.